Molecule: ribosomal RNA, 431 nt
Filed under: uncultured bacterium
Lineage: Bacteria
Description: partial 16S ribosomal RNA
Rfam family: Bacterial small subunit ribosomal RNA
Source: RNAcentral
AACGAACGCUGGCGGCAGGCUUAACACAUGCAAGUCGAGCGCCCCGCAAGGGGAGCGGCAGACGGGUGAGUAACGCGUGGGAACGUACCUUUUGGUUCGGAACAACUCCGGGAAACUGGAGCUAAUACCGGAUAAGCCCUAACGGGGAAAGAUUUAUCGCCGAAAGAUCGGCCCGCGUCUGAUUAGCUAGUUGGUGAGGUUACGGCUCACCAAGGCGACGAUCAGUAGCUGGUCUGAGAGGAUGAUCAGCCACACUGGGACUGAGACACGGCCCAGACUCCUACGGGAGGCAGCAGUGGGGAAUAUUGGACAAUGGGCGCAAGCCUGAUCCAGCCAUGCCGCGUGAGUGAUGAAGGCCUUAGGGUUGUAAAGCUCUUUUGUCCGGGAAGAUAAUGACUGUACCGGAAGAAUAAGCCCCGGCUAACUUCGUG